GCUUGUUUUCCUCGUGACUGUAAAGAGGCAUUUAAUCAAAGUAAUACAUGCAGUGGAGUAUAUACUAUUAAACCUGAUGAAUUACCAGCUUUUAAGGUUUACUGUGAUAUGAGUAAUGGAGGUGGCUGGACUGUAUUUCAAAGAAGAAUGGAUGGCACUGUUAACUUCUAUCUCAAAUGGGCCGACUAUGUUAAAGGAUUCGGAGACCUCAAUGGAGAGUUUUAGCUGGGACUUAAUAAUAUAUACCGGCUGACAAAAAGCAGCACUAGCCUUCGUAUUGACUUGGAAGAUUUUGAAGAGAAUAAGAGGUAUGCCACUUAUACUAGCUUUGAAGUAGGAAAUGCAGCCACGCAGUACCUACUGACUGUAUCAGGUUAUGGAGGUAAUGCUGGUGAUGGUAUGGCAUAUCACAAUGGAAUGAAGUUCACAACAUAUGAUUACGACAAUGACACUGGCACAGGAAAUUGUGGACUUAUCUGUAGUGGAGCAUGGUGGUACAAAUAUUGUCAUACCGCUAAUCUCAAUGGUUUAUAUUUAGUGGGUAGUCACACUUCAUAUGCUAAUGGUGUCAACUGAUAUCCUUUUAAGGGGUUCUACUAUUAAGGUUUACUGUGAUAUGAGUAAUGGAGGUGGCUGGACUGUAUGUCAAAGAAGAAUUGACAGCACUGAUCUCAAAUGGGCUGACUAUGUUCAAGGAUUUGGAUGUUUAAAGAGAGUUUGGCUCGGACUUAAUUAAACUUACAAGAAGCAGCACUAGCUGUUGUAUCAUUAAAGGAGCAAAAUGAGGUAUACAUAAUUAUCAUUCCUAACAAUAUUAUCUCUGCCCCUCUCCUCUCUCUCUCCUCUAUUCCACUUGAGUCCCAGUGAUUCAGUACUUGCAGAGUAUAUUAAGAGGACACACUGUAAGAGACGAGUGUUUCACACCUAAGAGAAAAUACAGAGAUGAAACGAGCUCUCAAAACUACAAAUAGUAUUCUCUCUGGACAUUAUGUUAGAAUGAACUUGCGACAAAAAUGAAU
Molecule: long non-coding RNA, 1019 nt
Organism: Amphimedon queenslandica
Lineage: Eukaryota; Metazoa; Porifera; Demospongiae; Haplosclerida; Niphatidae
Exons: 3
Source: RefSeq, a predicted model, not a curated record